AAAGAUACUCAAAAGAAGUAACUGCCCUUGGAAACUGACCUAUGAGCACCACAGAAGAUGAAGGAGAAGAGGGACAUCAAGCAGAGAAAUGAGGAGGGUUCCUGAUCUGACCUGAAGACAGGCAUGUGCCCUGGAACAAGCAUUUUUCUAUCUUUCCUCAGUCCCAGAGGCAGGUUCUGGGACAGACUUCAGCCUCCCAAGAGGAUGUUACUGCCAAGCAAGAAGGAAACCCCGUAAAGGAGAUAUCCUGACUCUAGGGAAAGGUGGCAGCUUGGACAUGGACCUCCUCUGAAUUCACCCUCUAUCUUUGGGCUGCACA
This is a long non-coding RNA of Lontra canadensis (Northern American river otter), 319 nucleotides long. RefSeq lists it as uncharacterized. The transcript is spliced from 3 exons. The record is from RefSeq and is a predicted model, not a curated record. NCBI's taxonomy places the organism in Eukaryota, Metazoa, Chordata, Mammalia, Carnivora, Mustelidae.